Molecule: ribosomal RNA, 601 nt
Filed under: Leucoagaricus sp. MEL 2292681
Lineage: Eukaryota; Fungi; Basidiomycota; Agaricomycetes; Agaricales; Agaricaceae
Description: eukaryotic LSU rRNA
Rfam family: Eukaryotic large subunit ribosomal RNA
Source: RNAcentral
CUAAAUAUUGGCGAGAGACCGAUAGCGAACAAGUACCGUGAGGGAAAGAUGAAAAGAACUUUGGAAAGAGAGUUAAACAGUACGUGAAAUUGCUGAAAGGGAAACGCUUGAAGUCAGUCGUGUUGGCCGAAGAUCAGCCUCGCUUGUUGCGUGGUGUACUUUCCGGUUGACGGGUCAGCAUCAAUUUUGACUGCUGGAAAAAGGCAUGGGGAAUGUAGCAGCUCGCGCUGGAUUAUAGCUUCUUGUCUCAUACAGCGGUUGGGAUUGUGGAACUCAGCACGCCGCAAGGCCGGGUUUCGACCACGUUCGUGCUUAGGAUGCUGGCAUAAUGGCUUUAAGCGACCCGUCUUGAAACACGGACCAAGGAGUCUAACAUGCCUGCGAGUGUUUGGGUGGAAAACCCGAGCGCCUAAUGAAAGUGAAAGUUGAGAUCCCUGUCGUGGGGAGCAUCGACGCCCGGACCAGAUCUUUUGGGACGGAUCCGCGGUAGAGCAUGUGUGUUGGGACCCGAAAGAUGGUGAACUAUGCCUGAAUAGGGUGAAGCCAGAGGAAACUCUGGUGGAGGCUCGUAGCGAUUCUGACGUGCAAAUCGAUCGUCAAA